This is a non-coding RNA of Styela clava, 1787 nucleotides long. The record is from RefSeq and is a predicted model, not a curated record. NCBI's taxonomy places the organism in Eukaryota, Metazoa, Chordata, Ascidiacea, Stolidobranchia, Styelidae.
UCACGGGACCGCGCACGCUGCAGGGUUCUGGAAGUUUCUGGCUGAUGGCUGUUUUGACGUCGGUCUGAGAGUGUUAUUCUAGGGUUUAUAAUUGAUUAAUUAGUGAACGACUUAGGCUUGUAGUGUUAGUAAAAUGUAGGGUAUUUAUUUGUACUGCUAAUAAUAGUGUAUUAUUGAUAUUCCUCACAGUUGUUAUUGUAAUAUUGCUAAGUAAUUCAAUCAAGAUAUUGUGAUUUAAUGUUCAAGUUACUGCUUGACGACCCUUGAGGACACAACGUCAAAAAACCGUACUGCUGUAUUGUUGUCGUACUUCUUUGUAUUGUGCAUCUGUUCGUACCAACGACUAACAUACCAUGAUGCGCAACUAAAGCCUUAGCCAAUGAGGAGUGUCUGACGCGAUACGCUCCAUUGCGGCAACUUGAUUCGUUAACGCCCACUCGAGUUCCCAGCGUUUUGCUGCAGUUUCACCACAUCUGUUGGUCGCAUCGGACUCACGAGCUGUAGUUGUUAUAUAAUAAGUGGCUAUUAUGACUAAUAAAGAUCUUGACGAGGCAAUGGAAGAAAAGUUUACUUUGAAUGAGCAAAAGUAAGACAGCUAUUGAGAAGAGAGCUACAGAGGACAAAAAAGUGUUAUGAGAGGUUUAAUGCAGGACCACCAACAGAUCAUGCAUUCAAUUAUCUUAUCAUCAAUAUAUUUUCUGGUUUUUAUUCUAUAGAUAACACAUACUUAAAUGGAUAUUUUCAUGACAAUAUUUUUGCUAAUAAACAACUUAUUCAGUGAUUUAUAAAAAAUAACUUAUGUUUUAUUUCAAGGUGCUCAACGUGUCAAAAGUUAUUUUCCAGCGUGGCAACAAGGCAGAGAUAUUAGUGUGGGGAAAAUUGUAGUGGAAGAUCAUUGCAGCCACUGUUCCUAUUUUACCAAAUGUGGUCGAAUACUUACAAUUGUUACUGAAGAAAAGUCCUAAGUGAUCAAAUGUUAUCCUUCAGCUGUGAUGCAGUUAGCAUCCCCACACUGGAACAGAGUAUUCCAGGUUUACUAUACCCUCCAGUCUGUCUGGAAAUUAUUUGAUAGAUUCACAGCUAAAGAAAUGGAUAAAACGAAAGAUUUACUAGAUUCAAGUACUAUCAUAUUGAAUGACGAUGAGGUCCAUAUAAUCCAAUACAUUGCUGGGUGUAUUUUACAAAAAAUGCAAAAACGAUGCCAAGACCCGGAAGACUGCAAAAGAAUUCAGUCAUUAUUUAAUCCCGAACGGGACUGUUUGAUAACUGACUCUAUGGUUGCAGUAAUGCAGGAAACAGAAUAUGGACGCUUAACCGUACCAUUGCUCAGUGUCCUUGAACUAUGUAAGCUGCUUGAAAUUGAAUUUAGAUGGAACUAUGCUCAUGAAGGUGUUGUAGCCACAGUUUUUGAAAAUUUUAAUAUAGAAUCAUUUAGUAUUGCCCAAAACGAUAUUAGCAUGCUGGACAUCUUGGAGAAAUUAUGUAAGUUCUACCUGAAAAUAAGGUGCCAUCAAACAGCCAGAACCAGAAUUUAUCCAUAUGAAAACUGCUUAAAAAAUAAAUGUAGAUGAAGGGCAUGAUCUCUUUUUACUUUAUUUUGCAAUAUAGUGCGUUUAGAUGUGAUUUCGGUUUUAUUUUUAUUAGUUUAGCAGUAAUUAAACAAAGUAUUCUAUUUUUCAUAACCAAAUGUUCAUUUCAUGGAAUAUAAUAUAUUUUCAUGACAAUAGGCAAUAUAGGUUGCAUAAUAAAAAUACAGGGAGAACUGUUUGAGUUGUCCCAGCGACAGA